GGGUUGUGAGGUUAAGUGACUAAGCGUACACGGUGGAUGCCUAGGCAGUCAGAGGCGAUGAAGGGCGUGCUAAUCUGCGAAAAGCGUCGGUAAGGUGAUAUGAACCGUUACAACCGGCGAUACCCGAAUGGGGAAACCCAGUGUGUUUCGACACACUAUCAUGUCAUGAAUACAUAGUGGCAUGAGGCGAACCGGGGGAACUGAAACAUCUAAGUACCCCGAGGAAAAGAAAUCAACCGAGAUUCCCCCAGUAGCGGCGAGCGAACGGGGAGAAGCCCAGAACCUGAAUCGGCUUGUGUGUUAGUGGAAGCGUCUGGAAAGUCGCGCAGCAAAGGGUGAUAGCCCCGUACACUAAAAUGCACAGGUCGUGAGUUCGAUGAGUAGGGCGGGACACGUGACAUCCUGUCUGAAUAUGGGGGGACCAUCCUCCAAGGCUAAAUACUCCUGACUGACCGAUAGUGAACCAGUACCGUGAGGGAAAGGCGAAAAGAACCCCGGCGAGGGGAGUGAAAUAGAACCUGAAACCGUGUACGUACAAGCAGUGGGAGCACCUUCGUGGUGUGACUGCGUACCUUUUGUAUAAUGGGUCAGCGACUUAUAUUUUGUAGCAAGGUUAACCGUAUAGGGGAGCCGUAGGAAACCGAGUCUUAACUGGGCGAAUAGUUGCAAGGUAUAGACCCGAAACCCGGUGAUCUAGCCAUGGGCAGGUUGAAGGUUGGGUAACACUAACUGGAGGACCGAACCGACUAAUGUUGAAAAAUUAGCGGAUGACUUGUGGCUGGGGGUGAAAGGCCAAUCAAACCGGGAGAUAGCUGGUUCUCCCGAAAGCUAUUUAGGUAGCGCCUCGUGAACUCAUCUUCGGGGGUAGAGCACUGUUUCGGCUAGGGGGCCAUCCCGGCUUACCAAACCGAUGCAAACUCCGAAUACCGAAGAAUGUUAUCACGGGAGACACACGGCGGGUGCUAACGUCCGUCGUGAAGAGGGAAACAACCCAGACCGCCAGCUAAGGUCCCAAAGUCAUGGUUAAGUGGGAAACGAUGUGGGAAGGCACAGACAGCCAGGAUGUUGGCUUAGAAGCAGCCAUCAUUUAAAGAAAGCGUAAUAGCUCACUGGUCGAGUCGGCCUGCGCGGAAGAUGUAACGGGGCUAAACCAUGCACCGAAGCUGCGGCAGCGACGCUUAGGCGUUGUUGGGUAGGGGAGCGUUCUGUAAGCCGUUGAAGGUGGCCUGUGAGGGUUGCUGGAGGUAUCAGAAGUGCGAAUGCUGACAUAAGUAACGAUAAAGCGGGUGAAAAGCCCGCUCGCCGGAAGACCAAGGGUUCCUGUCCAACGUUAAUCGGGGCAGGGUGAGUCGACCCCUAAGGCGAGGCUGAAAAGCGUAGUCGAUGGGAAACAGGUUAAUAUUCCUGUACUUGGUGUUACUGCGAAGGGGGGACGGAGAAGGCUAGGCUGGCCGGGCGACGGUUGUCCCGGUUUAAGCGUGUAGGGGGUGUGACCUGGUAAAUCCGGUUGCAUAUCAACCCUGAGGCGUGAUGACGAUGCACUACGGUGCAGAAGUAGUUGAUGCCCUGCUUCCAGGAAAAUCCUCUAAGCUCCAGGUAACAUUAAAUCGUACCCCAAACCGACACAGGUGGUCAGGUAGAGAAUACCAAGGCGCUUGAGAGAACUCGGGUGAAGGAACUAGGCAAAAUGGUGCCGUAACUUCGGGAGAAGGCACGCUGGCAUGUAGGUGAAGUCCCUUGCGGAUGGAGCUGAAGCCAGUCGAAGAUACCAGCUGGCUGCAACUGUUUAAUAAAAACACAGCACUGUGCAAACACGAAAGUGGACGUAUACGGUGUGACGCCUGCCCGGUGCUGGAAGGUUAAUUGAUGGGGUCAGCCGCAAGGCGAAGCUCUUGAUCGAAGCCCCAGUAAACGGCGGCCGUAACUAUAACGGUCCUAAGGUAGCGAAAUUCCUUGUCGGGUAAGUUCCGACCUGCACGAAUGGCGUAAUGAUGGCCAGGCUGUCUCCACCCGAGACUCAGUGAAAUUGAACUCGCUGUGAAGAUGCAGUGUACCCGCGGCAAGACGGAAAGACCCCGUGAACCUUUACUAUAGCUUGACACUGAACAUUGAGCCUUGAUGUGUAGGAUAGGUGGGAGGCUUUGAAGCGUGGACGCCAGUCUGCGUGGAGCCAUCCUUGAAAUACCACCCUUUAAUGUUUGAUGUUCUAACUCUGCCCCGUGAUCCGGGGUGAGGACAGUGUCUGGUGGGUAGUUUGACUGGGGCGGUCUCCUCCCAAAGAGUAACGGAGGAGCACGAAGGUUAGCUAAUCACGGUCGGACAUCGUGAGGUUAGUGCAAAGGCAUAAGCUAGCUUGACUGCGAGAGUGACGGCUCGAGCAGGUACGAAAGUAGGUCUUAGUGAUCCGGUGGUUCUGAAUGGAAGGGCCAUCGCUCAACGGAUAAAAGGUACUCCGGGGAUAACAGGCUGAUACCGCCCAAGAGUUCAUAUCGACGGCGGUGUUUGGCACCUCGAUGUCGGCUCAUCACAUCCUGGGGCUGAAGUAGGUCCCAAGGGUAUGGCUGUUCGCCAUUUAAAGUGGUACGCGAGCUGGGUUUAGAACGUCGUGAGACAGUUCGGUCCCUAUCUGCCGUGGGCGUUGGAAGAUUGAGAGGGGUUGCUCCUAGUACGAGAGGACCGGAGUGAACGCACCACUGGUGUUCGGGUUGUCAUGCCAAUGGCAUUGCCCGGUAGCUAAGUGCGGAAAAGAUAAGCGCUGAAAGCAUCUAAGCGCGAAACUUGCCUCAAGAUGAAUCUUCCCUGGGACUUUAAGUCCCCUGAAGGAACGUUUAAGACUAAGACGUUGAUAGGCUGGGUGUGUAAGUGCAGCGAUGCAUUGAGCUAACCAGUACUAAUGAUCCGUGAGGCUUAACCUUACAACACCGAAGGUGUUUUAG
This 2936-nucleotide ribosomal RNA is filed under the name Serratia marcescens. Its description in RNAcentral is "bacterial LSU rRNA". It matches the Rfam family "Bacterial large subunit ribosomal RNA". The record is from RNAcentral. Lineage: Bacteria; Pseudomonadati; Pseudomonadota; Gammaproteobacteria; Enterobacterales; Yersiniaceae.